AAGAAGCGAGAGAGGAAGAUGCAGAAGCAGAACAGACCUGUGGAGAUGAUGAGGGCCUGGCCGGUGGGGUUGAUGUUGGCCUUCGCCCAUGGCAGCAUCCGCACGCUCGCCAUCUGAAGGAAAGGAUACCAAUCAGCAGAAUGGUAAGGUACUCGCUCGCCAUCUGAAGGAAAGGAUACCAAUCAGCAGAAUGGUAAGAUACUGCAGACUGAUGCUGUCACAUUUUAACACUUGUGGAGGGAUCAGAGAACGAGAUGAACUCACGGUGGGGAUCGCAGAGGCGAUGGUCGCUACAGCUGCUGCCUUGGCUCCUGCGAGUGUCGCCUCUGCAUCAUAUGCAGGCACG
This 346-nucleotide long non-coding RNA is filed under the name Setaria viridis. Its description in RNAcentral is "long non-coding RNA (SVIR_LNC003844)". Lineage: Eukaryota; Viridiplantae; Streptophyta; Magnoliopsida; Poales; Poaceae. The record is from RNAcentral.